Molecule: long non-coding RNA, 209 nt
Filed under: Bos taurus (domestic cattle)
Lineage: Eukaryota; Metazoa; Chordata; Mammalia; Artiodactyla; Bovidae
Description: long non-coding RNA NONBTAT000409
Source: RNAcentral
CUAAGUAACUCAGAAGUUUAUUCCUAUUGAUGGUGAUUCCAGACCAGAUAAGAGGAUGAUUAUGCUAUCACAUGGAUGUAGGCAGAAAGAAAAUUAUUUCUGGUAAAAUGGAACUUCAAAGAGGAACCCCAAAUCAAAAUGUGCAGUUAUCCCCCAUCCCCUGCCCCGAUUCCAACCUAUAUUAAUACCAACCCUUUAUGUGAUGGAAA